This 253-nucleotide ribosomal RNA is filed under the name uncultured bacterium. RNAcentral describes it as "partial 16S ribosomal RNA". It matches the Rfam family "Bacterial small subunit ribosomal RNA", at positions 524 to 776 of the family's 1533-position model. The record is from RNAcentral.
UACGAACCGGCCAAACGUUAUUCGGAAUCAUUGGGCUUAAAGAGUGCGUAGGCGGCGCCGUAAGUCGGGUGUGAAAUCCCUCGGCUCAACCGAGGAACUGCGCCCGAUACUGCGGCGCUCGAGGGAGACAGGGGUGAGCGGAACUGAUGGUGGAGCGGUGAAAUGCGUUGAUAUCAUCAGGAACACCGGUGGCGAAAGCGGCUCACUGGGUCUCUUCUGACGCUGAGGCACGAAAGCUAGGGUAGCGAACGGG